RNAcentral lists this ribosomal RNA (467 nucleotides) under uncultured bacterium. RNAcentral's name for it is "partial 16S ribosomal RNA". It matches the Rfam family "Bacterial small subunit ribosomal RNA", at positions 28 to 506 of the family's 1533-position model. The record is from RNAcentral.
GACGAACGCUGGCGGCGUGCUUAACACAUGCAAGUCGAACGGAAAGGCCCUGCUUUUGUGGGGUGCUCGAGUGGCGAACGGGUGAGUAACACGUGAGUAACCUGCCCUUGACUUUGGGAUAACUUCAGGAAACUGGGGCUAAUACCGGAUAGGAGCUCCUGCUGCAUGGUGGGGGUUGGAAAGUUUCGGCGGUUGGGGAUGGACUCGCGGCUUAUCAGCUUGUUGGUGGGGUAGUGGCUUACCAAGGCUUUGACGGGUAGCCGGCCUGAGAGGGUGACCGGCCACAUUGGGACUGAGAUACGGCCCAGACUCCUACGGGAGGCAGCAGUGGGGAAUAUUGCACAAUGGGCGGAAGCCUGAUGCAGCAACGCCGCGUGCGGGAUGACGGCCUUCGGGCUGUAAACCGCUUUCGCCUGUGACGAAGCGUGAGUGACGGUAAUGGGGAAAGAAGCACCGGCUAACUACGU